CCUACGGGUGGCUGCAGUGAGGAAUAUUGGUCAAUGGCCGUAAGGCUGAACCAGCCAAGUCGCGUGAAGGAAGAAGGAUCUCUGGUUUUUAAACUUCUUUUAUAGGGGAAUAAAGGUAUCCACGUGUGGAUUUUUGCUUGUACCCUAUGAAUAAGCAUGGGCUAACUCCGUGCCAGCAGCCGCGGUAAUACGGAGUAUGCGAGCGUUAUCCGGAUUUAUUGGGUAUAAAGGGUGCGUAGGUUGUUUUUUAAGUCCUAGGUGAAAGUUUGUGGCUCAACCAUAAGAUUGCCGUUGAAACUGGAAGACUUGAGUGUGUUUGAGGUAGGCGGAAUGCGUGGUGUAGCGGUGAAAUGCAUAGAUAUCACACAGAACUCCGAUUGCGAAGGCAGCUUACUAAGCCAUAACUGACACUGAAGCACGAAAGCGUAGGGAUCAAACAGGAUUAGAUACCCGGGUAGUC
This 460-nucleotide ribosomal RNA is filed under the name uncultured bacterium. Its description in RNAcentral is "partial 16S ribosomal RNA". It matches the Rfam family "Bacterial small subunit ribosomal RNA", at positions 338 to 795 of the family's 1533-position model. The record is from RNAcentral.